CAAUAGAAUAUUAAAGUUACCGUGAAAUCAUAGAAGAAAAUAAAAUAUUUUACAAAUUAUUAUUUAUUUUUUUUUUUGAACGCUAAUGCUGCUAACGCGUGUGCCACUGUUUCAGAAGGGAAGUUGUAAGAGAGGAUGUAUAGAGUAAUUCGAAUACGUUUAGCGAUAAGCUGUUGCUAACGAAAAACGAUACUGAGCAAAGUAUUAGUCGUAUUUUUCAUUUUUCGCCGAGAUAACCAGAAACCAACAAAACACCAAAAAAGAUCAAAAAUUCAAUAAGAAAAUGUCUAUACAUUUUCGAUUAAAAAUAGAUAAUAGAUACAAAAAACACGCAUACACAUACUCACACACAUCAUAGUAAAACCAAUGCAUUCCUCGUUCAGAAUAUAAAACGACAUAUGGACUAUAACAUUUGUUCGAGUGAUGGAAUAUCUGACCUAGAGUUAGACUCAACAGUACUGCACUUGAUCCAGACAGUUUAUGAUGUUCACAUAAAGUUUUAGAGUAACGUCUGUAUGAUUGUGAAUUAAUGUAAUAAUUUAAUAAGUGUAUACGUUUUGAGCUGUAUUCAAUUUUGUUCAUUCUGCUACAAGUUAAUCGACUUUAAAGGGUUGUAUCGCAACAAAAUACAUACAAUUUCUAGGGGACCUAUGUAGGCAAUUUAUAUGUAUAUAAUAUUAUAUAAAUAAAAAUCUCGUGAAGUUAGUG
Molecule: non-coding RNA, 708 nt
Organism: Cinara cedri
Lineage: Eukaryota; Metazoa; Arthropoda; Insecta; Hemiptera; Aphididae
Source: the annotation of a GenBank genome assembly